RNAcentral lists this ribosomal RNA (472 nucleotides) under uncultured bacterium. RNAcentral's name for it is "bacterial SSU rRNA". It matches the Rfam family "Bacterial small subunit ribosomal RNA", at positions 355 to 825 of the family's 1533-position model. The record is from RNAcentral.
UGGGGAAUAUUGGACAAUGGGCGAAAGCCUGAUCCAGCCAUGCCGCGUGUGUGAAGAAGGUCUUCGGAUUGUAAAGCACUUUAAGUUGGGAGGAAGGGCAUUAACCUAAUACGUUAGUGUUUUGACGUUACCGACAGAAUAAGCACCGGCUAACUCUGUGCCAGCAGCCGCGGUAAUACAGAGGGUGCAAGCGUUAAUCGGAAUUACUGGGCGUAAAGCGCGCGUAGGUGGUUUGUUAAGUUGGAUGUGAAAUCCCCGGGCUCAACCUGGGAACUGCAUUCAAAACUGACAAGCUAGAGUAUGGUAGAGGGUGGUGGAAUUUCCUGUGUAGCGGUGAAAUGCGUAGAUAUAGGAAGGAACACCAGUGGCGAAGGCGACCACCUGGACUGAUACUGACACUGAGGUGCGAAAGCGUGGGGAGCAAACAGGAUUAGAUACCCUUGUAGUCCCUGAGCGGGCUGGCAAGGCGCAU